Molecule: ribosomal RNA, 497 nt
Filed under: uncultured bacterium
Lineage: Bacteria
Description: partial 16S ribosomal RNA
Rfam family: Bacterial small subunit ribosomal RNA
Source: RNAcentral
GAUGAACGCUGGCGGCGUGCCUAAUACAUGCAAGUCGAGCGAACAGACGAGGCGCUUGCUCCUCUGACGUUAGCGGCGGACGUGUGAGUAACACGUGUAUAACCUACCUAUCAUACUGGGAAAACUUCGGGAAACCGGCGCUAAUACCGGAUAAUAUAUUGAACCGCAUGGUUCAAUAGUGAAAGACGGCUUUUCUGUCACUUAUAGAUGGAUCCGCGCCGCAUUAGCUAGUUGGUAAGUUAACGGCUUACCAAGGCGACGAUGCGUAGCCGACCGAGGAGGGUGGUAGGCCACACUAGAAGUGAGACGCGGACCAGGCUACUACGGGAGGCAGCAGUAGGGAAUCUUACGCAAUGGGCGGAAGCCUGACGGAGCAACGGCGCGUGAGUGAUGAAGGUCUUCGGAUCGUAAAACUCUGUUAUUAGGGAAGAACAAAUGUGUAAGUAACUAUGCACGUCUUGACGGUACCUAAUAAGAAAGCCACGGCUAACUACGUG